UACGUAGGUGGUAAGCGUUGUCCGGAAUUAUUGGGCGUAAAGGGCUCGCAGGCGGUUUCUUAAGUCUGAUGUGAAAGCCCCCGGCUCAACCGGGGAGGGUCAUUGGAAACUGGGGAACUUGAGUGCAGAAGAGGAGAGUGGAAUUCCACGUGUAGCGGUGAAAUGCGUAGAGAUGUGGAGGAACACCAGUGGCGAAGGCGACUCUCUGGUCUGUAACUGACGCUGAGGAGCGAAAGCGUGGGGAGCGAACAGG
This 253-nucleotide ribosomal RNA is filed under the name uncultured bacterium. Its description in RNAcentral is "partial 16S ribosomal RNA". It matches the Rfam family "Bacterial small subunit ribosomal RNA", at positions 524 to 776 of the family's 1533-position model. The record is from RNAcentral.